This 447-nucleotide ribosomal RNA is filed under the name uncultured bacterium. Its description in RNAcentral is "partial 16S ribosomal RNA". It matches the Rfam family "Bacterial small subunit ribosomal RNA", at positions 29 to 523 of the family's 1533-position model. The record is from RNAcentral.
AGCGAACGCUGGCGGCAGGCUUAACACAUGCAAGUCGAACGGUCCUUCGGGAUAGUGGCGGACGGGUGAGUAACACGUGGGAACGUGCCUUUAGGUUCGGAACAACACAGGGAAACUUGUGCUAAUACCGGAUGUGCCCUUCGGGGGAAAGAUUUAUCGCCUUUAGAGCUGGCCGCGUUUGAUUAGCUUGUUGGUGAGGUAAUGGCUCACCAAGGCGACGAUUAGUAGCGGGUCUGAGAGGAUGACCAGCCACAUUGGGACUGAGACACGGCCCAAACUCCUACGGGAGGCAGCAGUGGGGAAUCUUGCGCAAUGGGCAAAAGACUGACGCAGCCAUGCCGCGUGAAUGAUGAAGGUCUUAGGAUUGUAAAAUUCUUUCACCGGGGACGAUAAUGACGGUACCCGGAGAAGAAGCCCCGGCUAACUUCGUGCCAGCAGCCGCCGUAA